CUCAUGAUGAAAAUUUUGGUCCGUGUUUAUGAUUUUUUUAUGAUUAUACAAUCAACCUCUUCUGAUAAAC
Small nucleolar RNA from Uranotaenia lowii, 70 nucleotides. RefSeq annotates it as small nucleolar RNA U18. The record is from RefSeq and is a predicted model, not a curated record. The transcript has a single exon. NCBI's taxonomy places the organism in Eukaryota, Metazoa, Arthropoda, Insecta, Diptera, Culicidae.